RNAcentral lists this ribosomal RNA (74 nucleotides) under Pseudomonas fragi. Its description in RNAcentral is "partial 23S ribosomal RNA". RNAcentral also lists the same sequence under 7 other names. The record is from RNAcentral. Lineage: Bacteria; Pseudomonadati; Pseudomonadota; Gammaproteobacteria; Pseudomonadales; Pseudomonadaceae.
GUAAGCGCUGUGAGGCGUUGAGCUAACCAAUACUAAUUGCCCGUGAGGCUUGACCAUAUAACACCCAAGCAAUU